This 253-nucleotide ribosomal RNA is filed under the name uncultured bacterium. Its description in RNAcentral is "partial 16S ribosomal RNA". It matches the Rfam family "Bacterial small subunit ribosomal RNA", at positions 524 to 776 of the family's 1533-position model. The record is from RNAcentral.
UACGUAGGUGACCAGCGUUGUCCGGAUUUACUGGGCGUAAAGAGCGCGCAGGCGGUCGUUCAAGUCGAGUGUGAAAGCCCCCGGCUCAACUGGGGAGGGUCAUUCGAUACUGAUCGACUUGAAGGCAGGAGAGGGAAGUGGAAUUCCCGGUGUAGUGGUGAAAUGCGUAGAUAUCGGGAUGAACACCAGUGGCGAAGGCGACUUCCUGGCCUGUUCUUGACGCUGAGGCGCGAAAGCUAGGGGAGCAAACGGG